GGCACCGGGGCGGAGGUUCCCGCAAAAGCCAUGCCCGCCCAGCCCCCGGAUUUCGGGCCCAGUUGUGUGGAAGAGAAGCAGAAACCUGCGCCAGGGCCUGGGGCCUCGACCUUCGAAGACCCCCAGGCCCCCAUUCCCGCCCCCCCCCCAAGGUACUGUGCUAAACUGUUGACACAGAAAACUGCUGAACCCUUACCCCAGCCUUGCAAGAUUUAUCUUCAUUGAUAGAGGCAGAAGCAGAAGCCUAAGUUCGAGCCUAAGUUCAAGUUAGUGUUGCUUCUGCUCUAUGAAGACUCUCUGGUCCGUCCCAAACAGGCAGGACGGAAGAGGGAGAAUGUGUUCUUGGAGAAGGAGAUGACCGGACAAGGAGGGCUGCAGGAGAGAUCUGGGGGCCAAGAGAGGCUGCAGCAUGGAGGGAGCAAAGUUGGUGUCCUUGAAUUUCAAAGGCAUGUAAAUAUCAGCAUCCCAACUGGAGCGCAGCGGUUUUUCUCCUGCUUGUUGCCGAAAGGAAGCCAAGAGGCAGGGGAGUUGGUUCCAGCCCUUAGCUGGGCUUUCUGAACCUACGGAUUACAUGAGCGCAAACCCAGGUAGAUCACCACUGGACCUUCGAAAUGAGGGAAAAAUUGAAACAGAAGACAAAAACAGCGAUGCGAGUCCCUCGUGAAAUUAACCAGGAUCCACACAUCAUGAAUAUAGAUGACCAUUGGGCGUCAUCUGCUACACAAACUACAGGGUCGUGGUCACUCCAUCCUAGACGACUGCUUUCUGAAGGCAUUUUCAACUCGCUAAUAAUGCUCAUUCUCCAUCAGCGUGCUCCGUCUGUCUGGGGGAAGGAUUUUGUUGACUGCAAUUUGAAACUUCCGUCGAAUUUAAGGGGUAGUGGCAACUCAGACAGCAGCUUAUACACCUGUGUUCCUGCGAUGCUCUUUCCGUCACAGCCCUGGGCAGCUUUUUGGACCUUUUGGCUGCCAUCCUUUUCCAGCCGAGAAGCUUUUCUUCUGUUUUAUGCUACCACCACCUGCUGUCCUGUUCCUACCACACAGAAACUCGUCUCCCCUUUUCCCAAAGGAACGAAUCUGACUGCAAGGCCACGAUAGGAAUAUCUUUCAGGGAGAUUAAGCAAUGACACAACUUUUCGAGGCUUAAUUUUAAAAGCACAGACUUUUAAAAUGAACGUGUUAUUUUAAAUGCCUGUAAAGAAAGUACUUUUCUUUUAGUCAUGUGAUGAUAAAGGGCUGAAUAUGAUUUUCACCAUGGCAAGAGGAAACGAUCGGAUGGGUGAUCCUUUUCAUUUAUUUUUAUUUAACAAACAUUUAAAUCGUGUUUAGUAUAUGUCGGGCACUAUUUUAAGUUCUCUAUCAGGAUAAGUCUUGUAAUCCUUAUAACAACCCUGUGAAGUAGGUUCUAUUAUUAUUCCCAUUUUGGAGAUGAGAGACCCAAGGCACAAAGAGGUCAAAUAACAUGCUCAGGGUUGCUGUAGUGGGUUACGUUCGUGUUUAAAAUAUUAGAUGCUCCUCCCUGUUGGCAUCAGUCUCAGCUAUGUUACUUGCAGUGCUUUCCUUUCUCCAUGUACAUUCGGCCUGACCGGGUGACUGGCAUUGUCCUAUGACAUCUGAACAGAGCAAAAGGUUCCGAGCAAAAGCCUUUUUUUAAAAAAAAGUCAGCUCAGAGUCCACCAUGUUCUUCCCUUCUUUAUCCAGGAAAGCAGUAGUGUUUGAGAGAGGGGAUGUUCUUUCAUAUUGGAUUUGAGAAUAAAGACAGAUGGAGCGGAACUGGAGCUGACCCC
Molecule: long non-coding RNA, 1786 nt
Filed under: Sus scrofa (pig)
Lineage: Eukaryota; Metazoa; Chordata; Mammalia; Artiodactyla; Suidae
Description: lncRNA (ENSSSCG00025065092.1, ENSSSCG00035048640.1)
Source: RNAcentral